GAUGAACGCUGGCGGCGUGCCUAAUACAUGCAAGUCGAGCGAACGGACGAGAAGCUUGCUUCUCUGAUGUUAGCGGCGGACGGGUGAGUAACACGUGGAUAACCUACCUAUAAGACUGGGAUAACUUCGGGAAACCGGAGCUAAUACCGGAUAAUAUUUUGAACCGCAUGGUUCAAAAGUGAAAGACGGUCUUGCUGUCACUUAUAGAUGGAUCCGCGCUGCAUUAGCUAGUUGGUAAGGUAACGGCUUACCAAGGCAACGAUGCAUAGCCGACCUGAGAGGGUGAUCGGCCACACAGGAACUGAGACACGGUCCAGACUCCUACGGGAGGCAGCAGUAGGGAAUCUUCCGAAAUGGGCGAAAGCCUGACGGAGCAACGCCGCGUGAGUGAUGAAGGUCUUCGGAUCGUAAAACUCUGUUAUUAGGGAAGAACAUAUGUGUAAGUAACUGUGCACAUCUUGACGGUACCUAAUCAGAAAGCCACGGCUAACUACGUG
Molecule: ribosomal RNA, 497 nt
Filed under: uncultured bacterium
Lineage: Bacteria
Description: partial 16S ribosomal RNA
Rfam family: Bacterial small subunit ribosomal RNA
Source: RNAcentral